This is a long non-coding RNA of Thunnus maccoyii (southern bluefin tuna), 478 nucleotides long. RefSeq lists it as uncharacterized. NCBI's taxonomy places the organism in Eukaryota, Metazoa, Chordata, Actinopteri, Scombriformes, Scombridae. The record is from RefSeq and is a predicted model, not a curated record. The transcript is spliced from 4 exons.
UUAUGGUGUGUCCAGGAAGUGCCUCAGUUUGGCCCAUGCCCGAGGCAACCAGAGACAGCAGCAGCAGAAAAAAAAAGCAGUGGACGGCCUCUGAUCCCAGCAGUCGCCUCAGUAUGAAUGAAGGCCAUGUGUAUAUACAUAUGUGCUGCCCACAUUGAUGUUUUGGAGUGCACGCACAUGUGAGGAGUUAGUGGUAUAUUAGGCCCUGGCAUGAUCUGCCCGAGGACAUCAGGCUGGCUGAGUCAGUGAUUUCUUUUAAGUACCUUCUUAAAACAUUUUUUAAUCGAUCUUUAAUCCCACAGAGACAUUUUCAGUUCUUAGCUCAUAAAAUGAUGUUUUGGAGACACAUGGUUUUCACAAGACUGAGUCUAAUGGGGGAAUAAAAAUGUCAGAAAAUAAAUAAGUUCAACUAAGAAAAUAACUUAAGUAACUGAGCAGUUAAUUGAAUUGAUAAAAUGUUGAAAAAUCCCAAUAAAAA